ACCUGCGACUCGCUGGCCACGUCCCGCCAGCGGGCAGGGGCCUGCCUCGGCCACCUCCUCCGCAUACAAGGCAAGACGCUGGAGACGGGGGCCGAGGAGGACGAGGUGCAGCCUUUGUGCCAGCGCCUGAGUGCCCCAGACGCCGAGGCUCUGCUCCAGGCUUCCUCCAGACUCAGAAAGAUCGUCUGCAAACACAUCCCGC
Molecule: long non-coding RNA, 202 nt
Organism: Dromaius novaehollandiae (emu)
Lineage: Eukaryota; Metazoa; Chordata; Aves; Casuariiformes; Dromaiidae
Exons: 3
Source: RefSeq, a predicted model, not a curated record